RNAcentral lists this ribosomal RNA (463 nucleotides) under uncultured bacterium. RNAcentral describes it as "partial 16S ribosomal RNA". It matches the Rfam family "Bacterial small subunit ribosomal RNA", at positions 28 to 507 of the family's 1533-position model. The record is from RNAcentral.
GACGAACGCUGGCGGCGUGCUUAACACAUGCAAGUCGAGCGGAAAGGCCACUUCGGUGGUACUCGAGUGGCGAACGGGUGAGUAACACGUGAGUAAUCUGCCCCUCACUUUGGGAUAGCCACCGGAAACGGUGAUUAAUACCGGAUAUGACCAUAUGUCGCAUGGCGUGUGGUGGAAAGUUUUUCGGUGAGGGAUGUGCUCGCGGCCUAUCAGCUUGAUGGUGAGGUAAUGGCUCACCAUGGCUUCGACGGGUAGCCGGCCUGAGAGGGUGACCGGUCACACUGGGACUGAGACACGGCCCAGACUCCUACGGGAGGCAGCAGUGGGGAAUAUUGGACAAUGGGCGGAAGCCUGAUCCAGCAACGCCGCGUGAGGGAUGACGGCCUUCGGGUUGUAAACCUCUUUCAGUACCGACGAAGCGCAAGUGACGGUAGGUACAGAAGAAGCACCGGCCAACUACGUG